This 227-nucleotide unclassified non-coding RNA is filed under the name Hevea brasiliensis (rubber tree). The record is from RNAcentral. Lineage: Eukaryota; Viridiplantae; Streptophyta; Magnoliopsida; Malpighiales; Euphorbiaceae.
GUGCGAAGGAUGGGAGGUUUUUUACAGGAAUUCAAGUUAUGGGUUUGGCUUUGAAAUGGGGUUUUGGUGAUGAUGUGUUUGUUUUGAAUUCAGUGAUACAUUUAUAUGGUGAAUGUGGGGAGGUGGAUAAAGCAAGGAAAGUGUUUGAUAAAAUGUCUGAGAGAAAUUUAGUGUCUUGGACUUGUUUGAUUUGCGGGUAUGCGAAGAGUGAGAAUGCUGAAGAGGCG